Molecule: ribosomal RNA, 399 nt
Filed under: uncultured bacterium
Lineage: Bacteria
Description: bacterial SSU rRNA
Rfam family: Bacterial small subunit ribosomal RNA
Source: RNAcentral
CAGCCCUUGACAUGUCCGGCUACUUGCAGAGAUGCAAGGUUCCCUUCGGGGACCGGAACACAGGUGCUGCAUGGCUGUCGUCAGCUCGUGUCGUGAGAUGUUGGGUUAAGUCCCGCAACGAGCGCAACCCUCGCCCUUAGUUGCCAGCAUUUAGUUGGGCACUCUAAGGGGACUGCCGGUGAUAAGCCGAGAGGAAGGUGGGGAUGACGUCAAGUCCUCAUGGCCCUUACGGGCUGGGCUACACACGUGCUACAAUGGUGGUGACAGUGGGCAGCGAGACAGCGAUGUCGAGCUAAUCUCCAAAAGCCAUCUCAGUUCGGAUUGCACUCUGCAACUCGAGUGCAUGAAGUUGGAAUCGCUAGUAAUCGCGGAUCAGCAUGCCGCGGUGAAUACGUUCCC